CCAGACUCCUACGGGAGGCAGCAGUGAGGAAUAUUGGUCAAUGGGCGGGAGCCUGAACCAGCCAAGCCGCGUGAAGGAAGAAGGCGCCAGGCGUCGUAAACUUCUUUUGUCGGGGAACAAAGGGCGCCACGUGUGGCGUUGUGAGUGUACCCGAAGAAAAAGCAUCGGCUAACUCCGUGCCAGCAGCCGCGGUAAUACGGAGGAUGCGAGCGUUAUCCGGAUUUAUUGGGUUUAAAGGGUGCGCAGGCGGAAUGUCAAGUCAGCGGUAAAAUUUCGGGGCUCAACCCCGUCGUGCCGUUGAAACUGGCGUUCUUGAGUGAGCGAGAAGUAUGCGGAAUGCGUGGUGUAGCGGUGAAAUGCAUAGAUAUCGCGCAGAACUCCGAUUGCGAAGGCAGCAUGCCGGCUCCACACUGACGCUGAGGCACGAAAGCGUGGGUAUCGAACAGGAUUAGAUACCCCUGUACCU
Molecule: ribosomal RNA, 466 nt
Filed under: uncultured bacterium
Lineage: Bacteria
Description: bacterial SSU rRNA
Rfam family: Bacterial small subunit ribosomal RNA
Source: RNAcentral